AGAGUUUGAUCCUGGCUCAGGAUGAACGCUAGCGACAGGCUUAACACAUGCAAGUCGAGGGGCAGCGGGGGCGUAGCAAUAUGCCUGCCGGCGACCGGCGCACGGGUGAGUAACACGUAUGUAACCUGCCCUAUGCAGGGGGAUAACCCGGAGAAAUCCGGCCUAAUACCGCGUAACACCUUAGGGGAGCAUUCUCUUGAGGUUAAAGGAGAGAUCCGGCAUAGGAUGGACAUGCGUCGCAUUAGGUAGACGGCGGGGUAACGGCCCACCGUGCCGACGAUGCGUAGGGGUUCUGAGAGGAAGGCCCCCCACACUGGUACUGAGACACGGACCAGACUCCUACGGGAGGCAGCAGUGAGGAAUAUUGGUCAAUGGCCGAGAGGCUGAACCAGCCAAGUCGCGUGAGGGAAGAAUGUCCUAAGGAUUGUAAACCUCUUUUGUCGGGGAGCAAAAAGGCUCUGCGGAGUCGUAUUGAGAGUACCCGAAGAAAAAGCAUCGGCUAACUCCGUGCCAGCAGCCGCGGUAAUACGGAGGAUGCGAGCGUUAUCCGGAUUUAUUGGGUUUAAAGGGUGCGCAGGCGGCGUGUCAAGCAAGCGGUAAAAUAGCGGGGCUCAACCCCGUCGAGCCGUUUGAACUGGCGCGCUUGAGUUCAGGCGAGGUAGGCGGAAUUCGUGGUGUAGCGGUGAAAUGCAUAGAUAUCACGAAGAACUCCGAUUGCGAAGGCAGCUUACCAGUCUGCGACUGACGCUCAGGCACGAAAGUGUGGGUAUCGAACAGGAUUAGAUACCCUGGUAGUCCACACAGUAAACGAUGAGCGCUAGGUGUCCGGGUCGCAUGAGACUUGGGUGCCCGAGCGAAAGCGUUAAGCGCUCCACCUGGGGAGUACGCCGGCAACGGUGAAACUCAAAGGAAUUGACGGGGGCCCGCACAAGCGGAGGAACAUGUGGUUUAAUUCGAUGAUACGCGAGGAACCUUACCCGGGCUCAAACGACUCAGGAAUAUAUUGGAAACGAUGUAGCCAGCAAUGGUCUGAGUCGAGGUGCUGCAUGGUUGUCGUCAGCUCGUGCCGUGAGGUGUCGGCUUAAGUGCCAUAACGAGCGCAACCCCUACCGCUAGUUGCCAACGGGUAAAGCCGGGAACUCUGGCGGGACUGCCGGCGCAAGCUGUGAGGAAGGCGGGGAUGACGUCAAAUCAGCACGGCCCUUACGUCCGGGGCGACACACGUGUUACAAUGGCAGGUACAGCGGGAAGCCACCUGGUGACAGGGAGCGGAACCCGAAAGCCUGUCUCAGUUCGGAUUGGAGUCUGCAACUCGACACCAUGAAGCUGGAUUCGCUAGUAAUCGCGCAUCAGCCAUGGCGCGGUGAAUACGUUCCCGGGCCUUGUACUCAAGGCCCGUCA
Molecule: ribosomal RNA, 1401 nt
Filed under: uncultured bacterium
Lineage: Bacteria
Description: 16S ribosomal RNA
Rfam family: Bacterial small subunit ribosomal RNA
Source: RNAcentral